RNAcentral lists this ribosomal RNA (253 nucleotides) under uncultured bacterium. RNAcentral's name for it is "partial 16S ribosomal RNA". It matches the Rfam family "Bacterial small subunit ribosomal RNA", at positions 524 to 776 of the family's 1533-position model. The record is from RNAcentral.
UACGUAGGAGGCGAGCGUUGUCCGGAAUUACUGGGCGUAAAGGGCGCGUAGGCGGAUAGUUAAGUGAGAUGUGAAAUCCCUGGGCUUAACCUAGGAACUGCAUCUGAAACUGGCUGUCUGGAGUGCGGUAGAGGGUAGUGGAAUUUCCGGUGUAGCGGUGAAAUGCGUAGAUAUCGGAAGGAACACCAGUGGCGAAGGCGGCUACCUGGACUGACACUGACGCUGAGGCGCGAGAGCGUGGGGAGCAAACAGG